RNAcentral lists this long non-coding RNA (432 nucleotides) under Mytilus galloprovincialis (Mediterranean mussel). The record is from RNAcentral. Lineage: Eukaryota; Metazoa; Mollusca; Bivalvia; Mytilida; Mytilidae.
GUCCGAUUCAUCUAAAAAUUUCAGAGCAGAUAAAUGUUGACCUGAUAAACAAUUUUACCCAUGUCAGAUUUGCUCUUAAUGCUUUGGGUUUUGAGUUAUAAGCCAAAAACUGCAUUUUACCCCAUGUUCUAUUUUUAGCCAUGGCGGCCAUCUUGGUUGGAUGGCCGGGUCACCGGACACAUUUUUCAAACUACUAACCCAAAAGAUGAUUGUGGCCAAGUUUGGAUUAAUUUGGCCCAGUAGUUUCAGAGGAGAAGAUUUUUGUAAAAGAUUACUAAGAUUUACGAAAAAUGGUUAAAAAUUGACUAUAAAGGGCAAUAACUCCUAAAGGGAUCAACUGACCAUUUCAGUCAUGUUGACUUAUUUGUAAAUCUUACUUUGGUGAACAUUAUUGCUGUUUAUAGUUUAUCUCUAUCUAUAAUAAUAUUCAAG